UACGUAGGGUGCAAGCGUUGUCCGGAAUUAUUGGGCGUAAAGAGCUCGUAGGCGGUUCGUCGCGUCGGCUGUGAAAUCCCGAGGCUCAACCUCGGGUCUGCAGUCGAUACGGGCGGACUGGAGUUCGGCAGGGGAGACUGGAAUUCCUGGUGUAGCGGUGAAAUGCGCAGAUAUCAGGAGGAACACCGGUGGCGAAGGCGGGUCUCUGGGCCGAUACUGACGCUGAGGAGCGAAAGCGUGGGGAGCAAACAGG
RNAcentral lists this ribosomal RNA (253 nucleotides) under uncultured bacterium. Its description in RNAcentral is "partial 16S ribosomal RNA". It matches the Rfam family "Bacterial small subunit ribosomal RNA", at positions 524 to 776 of the family's 1533-position model. The record is from RNAcentral.